AUAGGGGAGCCGCAGGGAAACCGAGUCUUAACCGGGCGUUAAGUUGCAGGGUAUAGACCCGAAACCCGGUGAUCUAGCCAUGGGCAGGUUGAAGGUUGGGUAACACUAACUGGAGGACCGAACCGACUAAUGUUGAAAAAUUAGCGGAUGACCUGUGGCUGGGGGUGAAAGGCCAAUCAAACCGGGAGAUAGCUGGUUCUCCCCGAAAGCUAUUUAGGUAGCGCCUCGUGAAUUCAUCUCCGGGGGUAGAGCACUGUUUCGGCUAGGGGGUCAUCCCGACUUACCAACCCGAUGCAAACUGCGAAUACCGGAGAAUGUUAUCACGGGAGACACACGGCGGGUGCUAACGUCCGUCGUGAAGAGGGAAACAACCCAGACCGCCAGCUAAGGUCCCAAAGUCAUGGUUAAGUGGGAAACGAUGUGGGAAGGCCCAGACAGCCAGGAUGUUGGCUUAGAAGCAGCCAUCAUUUAAAGAAAGCGUAAUAGCUCACUGGUCGAGUCGGCCUGCGCGGAAGAUGUAACGGGGCUAAACCAUGCACCGAAGCUGCGGCAGCGAACGUAUCACCCAAGACAACUUUGCGGAGUUGACGAUUGACGGAGCGAAGCGACGUCAAAGCGUUCAUUAAAGUCGAGUUGGCUUAGGGAUACGUUCGUUGGGUAGGGGAGCGUUCUGUAAGCCUGUGAAGGUGUGCUGUGAGGCAUGCUGGAGGUAUCAGAAGUGCGAAUGCUGACAUAAGUAACGAUAAAGCGGGUGAAAAGCCCGCUCGCCGGAAGACCAAGGGUUCCUGUCCAACGUUAAUCGGGGCAGGGUGAGUCGACCCCUAAGGCGAGGCCGAAAGGCGUAGUCGAUGGGAAACGGGUUAAUAUUCCCGUACUUGGUGUUACUGCGAAGGGGGGACGGAGAAGGCUAUGUUGGCCGGGCGACGGUUGUCCCGGUUUAAGCGUGUAGGCUGGUUUUCCAGGCAAAUCCGGAAAAUCAAGGCUGAGGCGUGACGACGAGGCACUACGGUGCUGAAGCAACAAAUGCCCUGCUUCCAGGAAAAGCCUCUAAGCAUCAGGUAACAUCAAAUCGUACCCCAAACCGACACAGGUGGUCAGGUAGAGAAUACCAAGGCGCUUGAGAGAACUCGGGUGAAGGAACUAGGCAAAAUGGUGCCGUAACUUCGGGAGAAGGCACGCUGACAUGUAGGUGAAGUGAUUUACUCAUGGAGCUGAAGUCAGUCGAAGAUACCAGCUGGCUGCAACUGUUUAUUAAAAACACAGCACUGUGCAAACACGAAAGUGGACGUAUACGGUGUGACGCCUGCCCGGUGCCGGAAGGUUAAUUGAUGGGGUCAGCGCAAGCGAAGCUCCUGAUCGAAGCCCCGGUAAACGGCGGCCGUAACUAUAACGGUCCUAAGGUAGCGAAAUUCCUUGUCGGGUAAGUUCCGACCUGCACGAAUGGCGUAAUGAUGGCCAGGCUGUCUCCACCCGAGACUCAGUGAAAUUGAACUCGCUGUGAAGAUGCAGUGUACCCGCGGCAAGACGGAAAGACCCCGUGAACCUUUACUAUAGCUUGACACUGAACAUUGAGCCUUGAUGUGUAGGAUAGGUGGGAGGCUUUGAAGCGUGGACGCCAGUCUGCGUGGAGCCGACCUUGAAAUACCACCCUUUAAUGUUUGAUGUUCUAACGUGGACCCGU
This 1681-nucleotide ribosomal RNA is filed under the name Salmonella enterica. Its description in RNAcentral is "partial 23S ribosomal RNA". It matches the Rfam family "Bacterial large subunit ribosomal RNA", at positions 657 to 2236 of the family's 2925-position model. The record is from RNAcentral. Lineage: Bacteria; Pseudomonadati; Pseudomonadota; Gammaproteobacteria; Enterobacterales; Enterobacteriaceae.